UGGCUCUGGCAUCGAUGAAGAACGCAGCGAAAUGCGAUAAGUAAUGUGAAUUGCAGAACUCAGUGAAUCAUCGAAUCUUUGAACGCACAUUGCGCCCGCCUGUAUUCUGGCGGGCAUGCCUGUCCGAGCGUCAUUUCAACCCUCAAGCCCCCGGGCUUGGUGUUGGAGAUCGGCGAGCCCUCCGGGGCACGCCGUCUCCCAAAUUUAGUGGCGGUCCCGCUGUAGCUUCCUCUGCGUAGUAGCACACCUCGCACUGGGAAACAGCGUGACCACGCCGUAAAACCCCCCACCUCAAAGGUUGACCUCGGAUCAGGUAGGAAUACCCGCUGA
RNAcentral lists this unclassified non-coding RNA (330 nucleotides) under uncultured fungus. RNAcentral describes it as "partial contains 5.8S ribosomal RNA and internal transcribed spacer 2". The stretch from base 1 to 133 matches the Rfam family "5.8S ribosomal RNA", at positions 22 to 154 of the family's 154-position model. The record is from RNAcentral. Lineage: Eukaryota; Fungi.